This 498-nucleotide ribosomal RNA is filed under the name uncultured bacterium. RNAcentral describes it as "bacterial SSU rRNA". It matches the Rfam family "Bacterial small subunit ribosomal RNA", at positions 31 to 518 of the family's 1533-position model. The record is from RNAcentral.
GAACGCUGGCGGCAGGCCUAACACAUGCAAGUCGAACGGUAACAGGAAGCAGCUUGCUGCUUGCUGACGAGUGGCGGACGGGUGAGUAAUGUCUGGGAAACUGCCCGAUGGAGGGGGAUAACUACUGGAAACGGUAGCUAAUACCGCAUAAUGUCGCAAGACCAAAGAGGGGGACCUUCGGGCCUCUUGCCAUCGGAUGUGCCCAGAUGGGAUUAGCUAGUUGGUGAGGUAACGGCUCACCAAGGCGACGAUCCCUAGCUGGUCUGAGAGGAUGACCAGCCACACUGGAACUGAGACACGGUCCAGACUCCUACGGGAGGCAGCAGUGGGGAAUAUUGCACAAUGGGCGCAAGCCUGAUGCAGCCAUUCGCCGCGUGUAUGAAGAAGGCCUUCGGGUUGUAAAGUACUUUCAGCGGGAGGAAGGGGUUAAGGUUAAUAACCUUAGCCAUUGACGUUACCCGCAGAAGAAGCACCGGCUAACUCCGUGCCAGCCGCAGC